UGCGAUUCAGCGAUUUUAUAUUGAAUUACAAUUCGAAUUUCAAGUUUAGCCCUGAAUUUAUAAAGUAUAAUUUUCUUUCUACACUAUAAAUUGGUAAUUAAAUUAAAAUAUGGUCGUUUGGCCAAAAAAAAUUAAAAUAUGGUCUAUAUACAUUUAUUCUUUUCUCUUGGCAGUUCACGAAAAUUAUACACAGCAUUGAACACCUGAUAAUAAUACACAGCAUUGACAUAGUGACCUUCAAAAUUUACUACGAAAAGUAGAAACCUAUAUAAUAUGAUCCCACCAUCUUAAUUGUAAUAUGAUCCCACCAUCUUAAUUGUACUUUUUAUACGAGAAUGAUACGGUACAUCUAUAUAUACGCUUUCGAAUUGUUAUAUAUCCUAUCUCAAACUCAGAGACAAACAAAUCUAUGUGAAUGAAAAUUAAAGAAAAUUCAAUGUUGCCUACGAAUACGACAUGACAAU
This 464-nucleotide long non-coding RNA is filed under the name Brassica napus (rape). RNAcentral's name for it is "long non-coding RNA (BNAP_LNC003605)". The record is from RNAcentral. Lineage: Eukaryota; Viridiplantae; Streptophyta; Magnoliopsida; Brassicales; Brassicaceae.